This is a non-coding RNA of Jatropha curcas, 493 nucleotides long. NCBI's taxonomy places the organism in Eukaryota, Viridiplantae, Streptophyta, Magnoliopsida, Malpighiales, Euphorbiaceae. The record is from RefSeq and is a predicted model, not a curated record.
AGGCACCGCAGAACUUCAUUUUGGAUUAUAUAAAAUAUAAUUACAAGAAUGUAUAAAUAAAAUUAGCCAAAUACAUAAACCUUCAAUAGGGAAUGGAUAAUUAAUGAACACGACACUACUACUUCAUACGAACUAAUAAACUCACAAUGUUGAAUUAAUAUUAUAAAAUUACAAAAGGUAAAAUCUGACAAACUGCUCAUCUAUUUUAGUUAUGCGGAGAUCGGAAAAAUCUAGAGAUCUCCCCACCUCGGCCAGACCAGGAUAUGUUACUCCAAGUUGGACUCUGUAACUGUGUGAUUGCAAGGGUCAACCAUUCAAUUCUAAUUAACCCAAAAAAAAUAUAUAUAUAUUUGAAAAACCAAGCAAUCUAUACCAAUUUAGUAAUGAGUAAUAGUUGAUUAAUUUUAAGUCACAUUAUUUUCAACACAAAACUAUAUAUAAAAAAAGGGAAUUAACAGAUAUUUAAAAAGAAAAGUGAAGGGGGGAAAAAAAA